RNAcentral lists this ribosomal RNA (497 nucleotides) under uncultured bacterium. RNAcentral's name for it is "partial 16S ribosomal RNA". It matches the Rfam family "Bacterial small subunit ribosomal RNA", at positions 28 to 507 of the family's 1533-position model. The record is from RNAcentral.
GAUGAACGCUGGCGGCGUGCCUAAUACAUGCAAGUCGAGCGAACGGACGAGAAGCUUGCUUCUCUGAUGUUAGCGGCGGACGGGUGAGUAACACGUGGAUAACCUACCUAUAAGACUGGGAUAACUUCGGGAAACCGGAGCUAAUACCGGAUGAUAUUUUGAACCGCAUUGUUCAAAAGUGAAAGACGGUCUUGCUGUCACUUAUCGAUGCAUCCGCGCUGCAUUAGCUAGUUGGUAAGGUAACGGCUUAUCAAGGCAACGAUGCAUAGCCGACCUGAGAGGGUGAUCGGCGACACUAGAGCUGAGACACGCACCAGACUCCUACGGGAGGCAGCAGUAGGGAAUCUGCCGCAAUGGGCGAAAGCCUGACGGAGCAACGCCGCGUGAGUGAUGAAGGUCUUCGGAUCGUAAAACUCUGUUAUUGGGGAAGAACAUAUGUGGAAGUAACUGUGCACAUCUUGACGGUACCUGAUCAGGAAGCCACGGCUAACUACGUG